Molecule: ribosomal RNA, 322 nt
Filed under: Streptomyces sp. SA2_actD
Lineage: Bacteria; Bacillati; Actinomycetota; Actinomycetes; Kitasatosporales; Streptomycetaceae
Description: bacterial SSU rRNA
Rfam family: Bacterial small subunit ribosomal RNA
Source: RNAcentral
GGAAUUAUUGGGCGUAAAGAGCUCGUAGGCGGCUUGUCACGUCGGUUGUGAAAGCCCGGGGCUUAACCCCGGGUCUGCAGUCGAUACGGGCAGGCUAGAGUUCGGUAGGGGAGAUCGGAAUUCCUGGUGUAGCGGUGAAAUGCGCAGAUAUCAGGAGGAACACCGGUGGCGAAGGCGGAUCUCUGGGCCGAUACUGACGCUGAGGAGCGAAAGCGUGGGGAGCGAACAGGAUUAGAUACCCUGGUAGUCCACGCCGUAAACGGUGGGCACUAGGUGUGGGCAACAUUCCACGUUGUCCGUGCCGCAGCUAACGCAUUAAGUG